GAUGAACGCUGGCGGCGUGCCUAAUACAUGCAAGUCGAGCGAACAGACGAGGAGCUUGCUCCUCUGACGUUAGCGGCGGACGGGUGAGUAACACGUGGAUAACCUACCUAUAAGACUGGGAUAACUUCGGGAAACCGGAGCUAAUACCGGAUAAUAUAUUGAACCGCAUGGUUCAAUAGUGAAAGACGGUUUUGCUGUCACUUAUAGAUGGAUCCGCGCCGCAUUAGCUAGUUGGUAAGGUAACGGCUUACCAAGGCAACGAUGCGUAGCCGACCUGAGAGGGUGAUCGGCCACACUGGAACUGAGACACGGUCAAGACGCCUAAGGGAGGCAGCAGUAGGGAAUCUUCCGCAAUGGGCGAAAGCCUGACGGAGCAACGCCGCGUGAGUGAUGAAGGUCUUCGGAUCGUAAAACUCUGUUAUUAGGGAAGAACAAAUGAGUAAGUAACUAUGCACGUCUUGACGGUACCUAAUCAGAAAGCCACGGCUAACUACGUG
Molecule: ribosomal RNA, 497 nt
Filed under: uncultured bacterium
Lineage: Bacteria
Description: partial 16S ribosomal RNA
Rfam family: Bacterial small subunit ribosomal RNA
Source: RNAcentral